Molecule: long non-coding RNA, 199 nt
Filed under: Lathyrus oleraceus (garden pea)
Lineage: Eukaryota; Viridiplantae; Streptophyta; Magnoliopsida; Fabales; Fabaceae
Description: Pisum sativum (pea) long non-coding RNA (PSAT_LNC015266)
Source: RNAcentral
GUCCACCAGAGAAGAUGACCGGAGCUAGGGCUCCGAUGGUGCGUUGUCAUCUUCCAAACCAUCAAAUCCCUUUGAAUUGUUUUAAUCCUAGCCUUUCCUUUAGAUUACCGCGCGCGUGAUGCAUUGACUGAGGCGCAUCAUGGAUAACACAUGCUUAACCACCUCAAUAAUGAGGGAGAUUUGAUGGCCCUUGUUUUUU